This is an RNA transcript of Dermacentor albipictus, 2042 nucleotides long. RefSeq lists it as uncharacterized. The record is from RefSeq and is a predicted model, not a curated record. Lineage: Eukaryota; Metazoa; Arthropoda; Arachnida; Ixodida; Ixodidae.
GCAUCGCGGUGACAUGCACAUUCUACGUUCACGGUGAGGACGCUGGUCGCAAAAUCGGCGCCUUUCUCAGCAAAAUCAACCACUUAGCCUCCCCACCCCCCCUCUUAACUCACACAUGGAAGCAACCUCGACAACAGUGCACCGUUGUCGACGGCUCGAGAAUGCGCCUGAGUCUUGUAGCAACCGUGCAAAUGUCUCGUGCGUUUCCGCAUGGUUUGGGUCUUCGUAUGCGAGCCUACUAUCGGGGCACUUUACUGCGGUGAAUUUGACGGCUAAUCGAGAGCCCACUUACAAGGCCUGUCUUGCGUUGGAGGAGCCACCAUCGUGGAAUUUGGUGCAGUGUAUACGGGCUCAGUAAUGCAGGCUUCUUUAUGCGUGAGGGUUACCCGUGUCGUGGCGUGGUGGACUCUGAGAAAACAGCGGUGUCUGUGUGGUGUGCGAACUUAGAGAAUGUCGUGGCCGCUCUUCAGGAGAACUGCUACCGGACAAGCCACGUGGGCAAACUCGCCGACGUAAUGGCAUUCUCAGCACAUUGUCCUAUACGGUCGCCCAGUCCCGCUGGCUUUGGAAAUGUGCCAGCGUUUUCGUCGCCUUCCGCAGCUGUGAUGAGCUGCGAGAUCAUGGUGCCAGGAUCUAGUUCAACGUGAAAGGUCGCGUCUCCGGCAUUCCUGACUGCUCGAUCACCACGCGGCUUCCGCGCGGCGAAAAAACUGCCCUGCGAACAGCGCAGAGUCUGAAUGCAAGCCCGACCAAGGCGCCCCGAAAGUGAUAAAAAACUGCCGGCGACGCAAGCGCGAUGGACAGCAGCAGCUUGCAGCCCUUCGGAAACUGGAUUUGAGGAAACCCGGCCCGCUGCCUGCCGCCGCCGGUCGUCCCCGAGAUUUGUGCUUUCUUCAUUGUGCUCGAGGCGGCGUUUUGUCUCCGCCGUGGAGAUAUAGGGGACAGCGCGGCCGACCCGAGCAGGAAGGGGAACUGCGUCUUUUUCUUUCCGCGUCGCCUGCCGCCAGCAGCGGUGCGUCCUGCCACGAGGCAGGAAGGACUGCCGCUAUUUAUUCCGCCCCUUUCGUCGCAACGUAGCCCCCACCGCUCUCUCUCUCUCUCUCUCUCUCUCUCUCUCUCUCUCUCUCACGUCGCUGCAACAGCACCUCGCUCGCUGUGUAGAGAAUGGACUCGCAUCGACGACGCAUCUGUUGCGUUUGCGCGCAACGUGGUGUGUGUAACGUUCGGCUGCGGGUACAGCCUGUGCGUAACACGACUGCUGCGUAUGCACGCGAUGACCGAGUUUUGUAACGGAAAGAAAACAUCCUCCCGGUAGAUGAAGCUCGGGGAGCGUGCGACGACCAAUCGCGUAACAUUUGCCUGCCUUCGGCCAAUGCUGCUGGAGGCGGUACGUUUCGCUAGUUUUCGGGCUUACGCAUAUCCCGGUGGAAAGCAUGAACACUGCAACUAGAUAGAUAUCUUUCUUCAAAUAUUUUUACUUUCUUUUUUUAGCUGUAGAGAAAGCAACGCGGUUGGGCACUCCUCCACCAUGGGUAUACGUAAUGUGCCCCAAGUAACGUCGAACGAUAAAGGUUGCCGCAGUUAAAAUUAGCUGCAGCCGCGGCAUUCUCGGUAAAGACAAAACGCGUGCUUCAUCAACGCAGGCCUCUUUAGAAAGUAGAGUUCUAUUAAAUGUGUUGCCCGCACAUUCCUAUACUUCCGAUGGAAAUGAGCAAUGACGUGAGCAUUUUUUGCAAUCGGAGAGCAGCCGAAAUCGCGACAUGCGUGUAACGACGCACGAGGAGGAGGAGAAGUAGGAAAAAACUUUAUUCUGGUCCUGUACAAGGUGUUGCCACCUGCCUGGCUAGUCCCAUGUCGGGACCGGGAGGUCAAGCCUCCUAGCCCUAUCACGGGCGUACUGGACAGCCAGGACUUGAGGGAUAUGAUCUGAAGAUCUGAUCAUUCCUAAAAACCGAUUCCGGGAAAUGCCAGGGCCGAGCGACCCACACUCCCAGAGCAGAUGUUCAAGCGUGCAUAUCUCCUUUUCGCAUGCUUUGCAUAAA